This 21-nucleotide microRNA is filed under the name Spodoptera frugiperda (fall armyworm). RNAcentral's name for it is "sfr-miR-10471-5p". The record is from miRBase by way of RNAcentral. Lineage: Eukaryota; Metazoa; Arthropoda; Insecta; Lepidoptera; Noctuidae.
CCGGUGCUCUGAUUGGUUACU